AAUUAGCCAAGUGGUCAGUAAAAAUAAAACACCCCGUUCGCUAGAAAUUCUGGCGGACACAUAUUACAUAAUCGAUCGUGAAAAGGUAACAAGCUCAGAUAGCCUUCUCCUUCUCUGCAGCUUUCCCUCAUGAACCUUAGUUCCAAAUCGAUUGUAGGUCGGCAAUUAGGAGUGCAAAUUGGGACUUUCUAGCUCCAAAUCGACUGUAGAUCGGCAAUUAGGAGUGCUAAUUGGGGCUUGUGCAACCAAAUAUCAUUGGAUGUGAAAACGAUUUAGGGGAAAAGGUAACAAAAAAUUCCUUGUGCCUUCUUCAAAUAUGUAAUUGUUAAGCAUACUAACCAGUUAAUAUGCUGUUUGUGGUGAACGAUGGAGUUCCAAGUCACUGUGUGUGGAUUAAGAUGAUAUAAUCAUAUUUUUUUUUUAAUUUAGGUUUGAUUCUUUGGGAAAUAUACGUACUAAACCAAUGAAACUCAGAACAUAUAACUUAUAGAAAAAGCCAAUUGUUGUUCCAAGUCACUGCCAGGAGACAAUUGUUGUUCUGGCAUUCCACUGAAAAUUCAAUACGGAUUAUGUGAUUGUUCAUCAGAAGUCACCAUCCCUUUGCCUGUAUGUGAUUUUUUCAUCUCUAACAUUUUACACUUCCAAAUUUAUGAUAUUGUUAUCUACUUUUAUUUCUGGGAUUACUCAUUUUUGUGAAAAUUUUAUAGUUUAAGCAUACUUAAUUAUCUCCGUUUCUAAAAUAUAAGAUACUUAUUGACAUUUUGAAGUCUAUUUAAGAUAUUUUCAAAUUCAAAAUGGUAUAGAUUCAAUAAAUUAUAGUCAACUCAUCCUAAAUAUUUAAACUAUCUAAAAAGUAACUAUAAAUUUAUGGUUUCAUAAUUAAUGAAAGGUAGAGAUGUUAUAUGCCAGUUUUUGAUCUAUAUAUAUAUAUAUAUAUAUAUAUAUAUAUAUAUAUAUAUAUAUUGAGAAGGAUUGCUUUGCUUUAAUUUAGGAAAACGACCCAAUAAUAUUCAUCCUUAAUUUUUUGGACUUUCAAACAGGAGAGUAGAUCUUCUGUCCCCAAAUUCUGUUUCCCUUGUGUCCUCUUACUUAAAUUUUGAUACAUGUCUUUUUAUUUAAUUUUAAAAUUAAUUAAUGUUAAGUAAAAGAUUAAGUGUCAAAAUUUAAAUGGAGGGACACAAAGAAACAAAAAAAUUAAGAAUAAUGCUCUCUUCAAAUAGAUCAUAAUAAUAAUAACUACACAAGACUUGUUUUUUAACGUUCAUUUUAAAAAUGAGCGCAUGUUCAGGUGGGUGUGCGGAUUCAGCGGGGUUAAAAAAUAACAAAUAUAAUAAAAUAAAUCAUAAAAUUAAAUAAUCCCCAAAUAUUAUUAUUUACGAUAACUUUUUUUUUUUGAGGUUUCACUACUUGAAAUUAUUGUAAAAAAUUAAUUGCUAAAUUUGUAAAAUUAUAAAAAUUAAAAUAAAAAUUACAACAUAUCCAAUUUUCUCUAAAAUUACAACAUCGAAUCUUCAUAUGACGAAAAUAUUUUAUGAGUAUUUUUUUUUAUGAAAAUUGCAAUAGCAUUUGAUUACAUAAAAUAGAAAUUUUUUGUCUUCAACCAGUCUAAUUUUUGACAUUGAUGAAGAAAGAUACUACUAGUCUGUUUGGUCACUCACCUACUAUUUCCAAUUUUGGUUAAUGGGCCUGUCCAAACUUCAUUUAUUUUUAGGAACAAUUACAUUUUCUAUUACAUUUUAAAAAAUAAUUACAAUAAUAGUGCACUCAUAAAAUAAUUAUAAAAAUAUUACAUUUCCCAUAUUUAUUUACAAAAUUAAUACAUUUAAGUAUCUUUGGCUCACUAUUAUCUUCCGUUAAUUGUGACACACUUUUCUUUUUCCUCUCUUCUAUUUUCCUCUUUCAUAUCUCCAAAAUAAAAACUCCCUGAAUGUAUCCACCAUCCGGCGACCACCGAAACACUUGCUCCAUGAAACAAUAUCCCACCACUUUUAUUUCUCAACCACUGAAACGUUUUUCUUAUAGUAUAUGACUAAAAUACUCCAUGAAACAAUAUCUCACCACUUCUCAACUAAUACCCACCACCACUGAGUCUGACGUCUCCGUUGAAAGUUAUGCUGCCACCGGUAUCGAUGCAUGUGAGGCUUAUGAAUGGAUAUGGGUCGGAUGCAUGAAAUAUGAAGGGUCUUCGUGUGUCAGCAUGAUUUGUUAAAGGAUACAUUUUUGGGCUUUAUUAGCAUUUUUUUGUAAGUUAAAUGUAAUGCAGUUGGGUAGUCAAACCUUUUAUGCAGUGGGUAGCCAAAUCUUCAUACUAAGGUAACCAAUUCAGUUUUAUUAAGUUUUCAAUUUAUUUUGAAUGUGAUGCAGUUGGUAGCCAAACCUUCAUGUUGUUGGUUGCCAAACUUUUAGAUCAAGGUAACCAAUUCAUACUGCAUGUGUGGAGGUAGAUUGGUUACAUUGGUAUAAAGGUUUGGUUACCUUGGUAUAACAGUUUGGUUACCUUGAUACGAAGGUUUGGUUAUCAACAUUACAUUACAUAUCACUCUCUUAUCUCUCUCUUUCCAAUACAGUGUUCUUAUCUAUCUAGUUGUUGAAGCUUGACUAAUAUUUUCUCUGCGAGUCCACUGUAAUAUUUGAAAAUGAAGGUUUCUACUUGAGGUGGCUCGCACCAGAUUACAAUGGCGGCCAAUGCUAUGAUCUCUCUUCGUUAAGAAAGGAAAAGUUUGUAAUUCAUCAAGUUUUAUUUUUAUGUUUCGGAUGUACAAGUAAUUUGUUUUGUUUGGGUUAUUGGACUUACUGACGGACAAUCUGAUCUAUGCUCAUAUUAGUUUAGGUGAAUUAUUAUUUUGAAUUUAAAUUUGUUUUUAUUGUUAGAUCUCAAAUAUUUGAAUUUGAAUUAUUAAUUGUAAUAGUUAUUUCUCCUU
This 2921-nucleotide long non-coding RNA is filed under the name Panax ginseng (ginseng). RNAcentral describes it as "long non-coding RNA (PGIN_LNC005052)". Lineage: Eukaryota; Viridiplantae; Streptophyta; Magnoliopsida; Apiales; Araliaceae. The record is from RNAcentral.